Molecule: ribosomal RNA, 787 nt
Filed under: uncultured Acidobacteriota bacterium
Lineage: Bacteria; Pseudomonadati; Acidobacteriota
Description: bacterial SSU rRNA
Rfam family: Bacterial small subunit ribosomal RNA
Source: RNAcentral
AGAGUUUGAUCCUGGCUCAGAAUGAACGCUGGCGGCGUGCCUUACACAUGCAAGUCGAGCGAGGCGGGGUAGCAAUACCCCAGUCGAGCGGCGAACGGGUGAGUAACACGUGGGUGACCUACCUCAAGGUGGGGGAUAACCCGGGGAAACUCGGGCUAAUACCGCAUGACAUCGAGAGAUCAAAGCAGGCGAAAGCUUGCGCCAUGAGAGGGGCCCGCGUCUGAUUAGCUAGUUGGUGAGGUAACGGCUCACCAAGGCGACGAUCAGUAGCCGGCCUGAGAGGGCGAUCGGCCACACUGGAACUGAGACACGGUCCAGACUCCUACGGGAGGCAGCAGUGGGGAAUUUUGCGCAAUGGGGGAAACCCUGACGCAGCAACGCCGCGUGGAGGAUGAAGGUCCUUGGAUUGUAAACUCCUGUCAGCAGGGAAGAAGGCCUUACGGUGAAUAUCCGUAAGGAUUGACGGUACCUGCAGAGGAAGCCCCGGCUAACUCUGUGCCAGCAGCCGCGGUAAUACAGAGGGGGCAAGCGUUAUUCGGAAUUAUUGGGCGUAAAGGGCGCGUAGGCGGCUUCGCAAGUGGUGGGUGAAAUCCCUCGGCUUAACCGAGGAACUGCCCUCCAAACUGCGUUGCUUGAGUCCGGGAGAGGUGAGUGGAAUUCCCAGUGUAGCGGUGAAAUGCGUAGAUAUUGGGAGGAACACCAGUGGCGAAGGCGGCUCACUGGACCGGAACUGACGCUGAGGCGCGAAAGCGUGGGGAGCAAACGGGAUUAGAUACCCCCGUAGUCC